UACGUAGGGUGCGAGCGUUGUCCGGAAUUAUUGGGCGUAAAGGGCUCGUAGGCGGUUUGUCACGUCGGGAGUGAAAACUCAGGGCUUAACCCUGAGCCUGCUUCCGAUACGGGCAGACUAGAGGUAUGCAGGGGAGAAUGGAAUUCCUGGUGUAGCGGUGAAAUGCGCAGAUAUCAGGAGGAACACCGAUGGCGAAGGCAGGUCUCUGGGCAUUAACUGACGCUGAGGAGCGAAAGCAUGGGGAGCGAACAGG
RNAcentral lists this ribosomal RNA (253 nucleotides) under uncultured bacterium. RNAcentral describes it as "partial 16S ribosomal RNA". It matches the Rfam family "Bacterial small subunit ribosomal RNA", at positions 524 to 776 of the family's 1533-position model. The record is from RNAcentral.